GAUGAACGCUCGCGGGAGGCCUAACACAUGCAAGCCGAGCGGGAUUUGUUGGUUAGCUUGCUAACUAACAAUGAGAGCGGCGUACGGGUGCGUAGCACGUGUGCAACCUGCCUUUAUCUGGGGGAUAGCCUUUCGAAAGGAAGAUUAAUACCCCAUAACAUAUUGAUUGGCAUCAGUUAAUAUUGAAAGCUCCGGCGGAUAGAGAUGGGCACGCGUAAGAUUAGCUAGUUGGUGAGGUAACGGCUCACCAAGGCUGCGAUCUUUAGGGGGCCUGAGAGGGUGAUCCCCCACACUGGUACUGAGACACGGACCAGACUCCUACGGGAGGCAGCAGUGAGGAAUAUUGGACAAUGGGUGAGAGCCUGAUCCAGCCAUCCCGCGUGAAGGACUAAGGACCUAUGGUUUGUAAACUUCUUUUAGACAGGGAUAAACCUACUCUCGUGAGGGUAGCUGAAGGUACUGUAUGAAUAAGCACCGGCUAACUCCGUG
RNAcentral lists this ribosomal RNA (489 nucleotides) under uncultured bacterium. RNAcentral's name for it is "partial 16S ribosomal RNA". It matches the Rfam family "Bacterial small subunit ribosomal RNA", at positions 28 to 507 of the family's 1533-position model. The record is from RNAcentral.